GGGCACUGGCAGCAAAAACAGCAUGCAAACAGGAAGGCCCGCCUCUGGCCACGGGGUCCAGCAUGCAUGAAUAGUAACCAAUAGGGCACUGACGGGAACCAUGUGACUGCGUAAGGACCCCUGAAGCAUGGCCGAUCUUCUCAGAGACAAAAAGCUUGAAUGGCUUCUGAUAGUUAGGUAGGCCCAAAGCUGGGGCUGAGGAGAUGGCUUUCAGUCUUUAAGGCAUCAUAGAGAGGCUGCAUGAGCUGAGAAGCCGUGGGAAUCCAGGAUCUGCAGUAUGUGAUGAGGCCUAGGAAAGCAUGAAGAGCCUGAUGUGCAG
Pelobates cultripes (western spadefoot toad) is the source of this 319-nucleotide non-coding RNA. The record is from the annotation of a GenBank genome assembly. Lineage: Eukaryota; Metazoa; Chordata; Amphibia; Anura; Pelobatidae.